CGGCGGACGGGUGAGUAACGCGUGGGUAACCUGCCUCAUACAGGGGGAUAACAGUUAGAAAUGACUGCUAAUACCGCAUAAGACCACAGCACCGCAUGGUGCGGGGGUAAAAACUCCGGUGGUAUGAGAUGAACCCGCGUCUGAUUAGCUAGUUGGUAAGGUAACGGCUUACCAAGGCGACGAUCGGUAGCCGACCUGAGAGGGUGACCGGCCACAUUGGGACUGAGACACGGCCCAA
This 238-nucleotide ribosomal RNA is filed under the name uncultured bacterium. RNAcentral's name for it is "partial 16S ribosomal RNA". It matches the Rfam family "Bacterial small subunit ribosomal RNA", at positions 96 to 334 of the family's 1533-position model. The record is from RNAcentral.